GACGAACGCUGGCGGCGCGCUUAACACAUGCAAGUCGAACGGAAAGGCCUGCUUUCCCUUGUGGAUUGCGGGUACUCGAGUGGCGAACGGGUGAGUAACACGUGAGUGAUCUGCCCCCAACUUGGGUAUAAGCCUGGGAAACUGGGUCUAAUUCCCGAUAGGACUGCAGGGUGGUGCCUGUGGUGGAAAACGAUUUUCUAGUGGUUGGGGAUGAGCUCGCGGCCUAUCAGCUUGUUGGUGGGGUAAUGGCCUACCAAGGCGGCGACGGGUAGCCGGCCUGGGGGGGUGGACGGCCACAUUGGGACUGAGAUACGGCCCAGACUCCUACGGGAGGCAGCAGUGGGGAAUAUUGCACAAUGGGCGGAAGCCUGAGGCAGCGACGCCGCGUGGGGGAUGACGGCCUUCGGGUUGUAAACUCCUUUCGACCGCGAGGAAGCCACCUGGUUGGAAGGGUGGUGACGGUAGUGGUAGAAGAAGCACCGGCUAACUACGUG
Molecule: ribosomal RNA, 494 nt
Filed under: uncultured bacterium
Lineage: Bacteria
Description: partial 16S ribosomal RNA
Rfam family: Bacterial small subunit ribosomal RNA
Source: RNAcentral